GCGCUUGGGUGUGGAAGUGACAGCAGCAGUCUUUUUUUUUCAAGAUUGACUCGCUUCGUUUUGUACUCCGGUCAUGGUCACGUAGUUGUAGUGCGUGAUAGCUCAGAACCCAGCUGUGAUCAGCAGCUGUGGGGCAGCCGGAGCGCGGCCUUUGCUUGGGCUGGAGAGUGAAAAUGAUCCUCAGACGAACCAAGCACCCCGCAAGGAAGUAUACACUUCGGAAACACCUUUAGGAUUCCAAGUGAGAACAGAAAUAGUAUACAAAGACGUUCAGCCUCCUAUUACUCGACUGCUCAGGCGUGUGGUAUCGUUCUUUGAUUCUAGUGGCAGCCCUCCUUCUGAGAAGUGAGCUGCCUGAAAGCUCAGAACAUUGUGUUGGGGCUCUGAGAAUGUCAUCCCAGUGCCUUACACCAGACCACCACUGGAAAAUUGUCCCCUUGCAUUGCUGAAGCAACAGCUCUGUCUUGGACACCACUCUGCUGGACUUGGAAACCUUCUCGUCUGCUUGUGUCACUGCUGUUCUCUGUGCAUGUAUCGGAGUUGCUGAACAUGAACUGGGUUCACCCAGGUGUACUGUGAGGUGUUAAUGAACCUGUGUGCUGCCUGGUGUCCCAUGACCAAUGCUCUGACCGGGUGUGAAGUUGAUUUCCCAGCUGGUGUGCAGGAUGUACCUGGAUGAUCCAGAGUGUACCUGGGAUGGCUUUCAACUGAGCAGCUCUGAAGUGAAUACUUGAAGAACAAUGAGUAAAUGGGAAGAAGCGUAGUUUAGUGUUUCAGGCACAAGAGUUCUUACUCGUGUUUCAAAUAAAAGUUUAUGAACUACAAGUGCAGAAAUGUUACUGCGAGAUAAAAAGCUAUUAAAUUUUCUG
This is an RNA transcript of Empidonax traillii (willow flycatcher), 869 nucleotides long. It is a transcript of the gene named small integral membrane protein 26, with no coding region annotated. The transcript is spliced from 2 exons. NCBI's taxonomy places the organism in Eukaryota, Metazoa, Chordata, Aves, Passeriformes, Tyrannidae. The record is from RefSeq and is a predicted model, not a curated record.